Molecule: non-coding RNA, 467 nt
Organism: Cinara cedri
Lineage: Eukaryota; Metazoa; Arthropoda; Insecta; Hemiptera; Aphididae
Source: the annotation of a GenBank genome assembly
UACGGAGCACUAAUAAAAUGGCACGUGCCGUGCUAACACACAAACGGUACUCCACUACACUCUCCCUACCUAAACUCAUAAGUGAAACCUCGUUAACGGGUUGGCAGAAAUCAAAAAUAUAGACGCCAAAAUGUAUUUAAAGUAAUACUCCACUUAUUUAUGGAAUUUAUAAAACAAGUUCUCAUUUGAAAAAACCAAAUUUUGUUUCGCCACAGGAUACUCCUUAAGUAUUGUGAAAAAUCUAAAUAUUCGAAAAUAUCGGCUUUAACUAUCAGCGCUUAACAAUUCGAAAAAUCACAGAAUUUGAAUAAAUACAACAUUUAACCAAACAAAUGAGGUGAGUACGCUUAGUGAAUUAUCCUGUGUACAUCAAUUUCUUAUGUAGACAGCAUACAGCACCGUCGACAAAUGGUAUUAUAAAAUGAAUUCAGACACGGAUAGCAUUCCGAAUACAGUAUUUUUACAUG